This 239-nucleotide long non-coding RNA is filed under the name Mytilus galloprovincialis (Mediterranean mussel). The record is from RNAcentral. Lineage: Eukaryota; Metazoa; Mollusca; Bivalvia; Mytilida; Mytilidae.
ACUAAAAUACUAAGUUUGUAAAACGCUAAAUUAAAUAUUUACAGGACUGCUGUAUACUGACAUGUGAGAUAAACUAACAAUAAUUUUUCAAUAGCACUAUUUCCACACGUUGUACACUCGGAUUUUAAUCUUUUUAAUAUUCGUUUUGAUUGCUUUCUUUCUCCAGAAACCUACAUGUACCAACGAAGCAUCGACCUGUGUUUUUAUCUGUUGCUACCACCUUAAAUUCUGUUUCAUCA